Molecule: ribosomal RNA, 759 nt
Filed under: uncultured cyanobacterium
Lineage: Bacteria; Bacillati; Cyanobacteriota
Description: bacterial SSU rRNA
Rfam family: Bacterial small subunit ribosomal RNA
Source: RNAcentral
GAUGAACGCUGGCGGUCUGCUUAACACAUGCAAGUCGAGCGGAAUCUUUCGGGAUUUAGUGGCGGACGGGUGAGUAACGCGUGAGAAUCUGCCUUCAGGUUCGGGACAACAGCUGGAAACGGCUGCUAAUACCGGAUGUGCCGAGAGGUGAAAGCUUAAGUGCCUGGAGAUGAGCUCGCGUCUGAUUAGCUAGUAGGAGUGGUAACGGCACCCCUAGGCGACGAUCAGUAGCUGGUCUGAGAGGAUGAUCAGCCACACUGGGACUGAGACACGGCCCAGACUCCUACGGGAGGCAGCAGUGGGGAAUUUUCCGCAAUGGGCGCAAGCCUGACGGAGCAAGACCGCGUGAGGGAAGAAGGUCUGUGGAUUGUAAACCUCUUUUGAUAGGGAAGAAGACAGUGACGGUACCUAUCGAAUCAGCCUCGGCUAACUCCGUGCCAGCAGCCGCGGUAAUACGGAGGAGGCAAGCGUUAUCCGGAAUUAUUGGGCGUAAAGAGUCCGUAGGUGGGUAACCAAGUCAGCUGUUAAAUAGUGAAGCUUAACUUCAUAGAGGCGGCUGAAACUGGUUGUCUAGAGUGUGGUAGGGGUAGAGGGAAUUUCCAGUGUAGCGGUGAAAUGCGUAGAUAUUGGAAAGAACACCGGUGGCGAAAGCGCUCUACUGGGCCUGCACUGACACUGAGGGACGAAAGCUAGGGGAGCGAAAGGGAUUAGAUACCCCUGUAGUCCUAGCCGUAAACGAUGGAUACUAGGCGUUGCCCG